GAUGAACGCUGGCGGCGUGCUUAACACAUGCAAGUCGAACGAAGCAACUUUGAAACUUCGGUUUCAAAGUUGACUUAGUGGCGGACGGGUGAGUAACGCGUAGGUAACCUGCCUUAUACAGGGGGAUAACAGCUGGAAACGGCUGCUAAUACCGCAUAACACAAAGGUAUCGCAUGAUACUUUUGCCAAAGAUUUAUCGGUAUAAGAUGGACCUGCGUCUGAUUAGCUAGUUGGUGAGGUAAUGGCUCACCAAGGCGACGAUCAGUAGCCGACUUGAGAGAGUGAUCGGCCACAUUGGGACUGAGACACGGCCCAAACACCUACGGGUGGCAG
This 333-nucleotide ribosomal RNA is filed under the name uncultured Bacillota bacterium. RNAcentral describes it as "bacterial SSU rRNA". It matches the Rfam family "Bacterial small subunit ribosomal RNA", at positions 28 to 351 of the family's 1533-position model. Lineage: Bacteria; Bacillati; Bacillota. The record is from RNAcentral.